GGACACUGUGUCCGUCAUCGCUGCCAUCAUCAUCAUCAUCGGCCUCGUGGGAGUCGGUGUCUGGAAGCUCCGAUCCGGGAAGAGGAAGGGGAAUGGAUACGACCCCGCGCCCACCAGAAUCACGGCCUGAGCAAUCCUGGAGCUGGAUCCGCCCCUUCCCUCUCCCUGCGGAAAGGCAGGAGCUGCUGGCAGAGCUCAUCCCGCUGCUCCCACCCACCCCGGCCCCCCUGCGGCUCUUCCCGAUGGAUCAACUUCCUGCUUUUUCCCGUGUGAAACCCAGGACCACAAUUAUUCCUGAGGCUUUAAUUUGGGUGUGAAAAUCUCCUGCUUUGGGCAAC
Pseudopipra pipra is the source of this 338-nucleotide long non-coding RNA. RefSeq lists it as uncharacterized. Lineage: Eukaryota; Metazoa; Chordata; Aves; Passeriformes; Pipridae. The record is from RefSeq and is a predicted model, not a curated record. The transcript has 3 exons.